CUUCACUCGUAACCCACUGCCAUGGCGGAGGAAGGCAGUGCUGCUGGAGGUGCAAUGGACAUUAAUACUGUUUUACAGGAGGUGCUGAAGACCGCCGUCAUCCAUGAUGGCCUAGCACGUGAAAUUUGCAAAGCUGCCAAAGGCUUAGACAAGUGCCAAGCCCAUCUUUGUGUGCUGUGUGUGCUUGCAUCCAACUGUGAUGAGCCUAUGUAUGUCCACUUGGUGGAGGCCCUUUGUGCUGAACACCAAAUCAACUUAAUUAAGGUUGAUGACAAGAAACUAGGAGAAUGGGCAGGCCUCUGUAAAACUGACAGAGGGGAAACCCCGUAAAGUGGUUGGUUGAAGUUGUGUAGUAGUUAAGAACUAUGGCAAGGAGUCUCAGGCCAAGGACGUCAUUGAAGAGUACUUCAAAUGCAAGAAAUGAACAAAUAAAUCUUUGGCGCACACACACACAGACACGCACUUAAAAAAAAAAGAAAAAAAAAAGAAAAAAUAAAUUGGACUCAGUCCUCCUCAAAAAUAACCAAUCUAUUGCUGCCUCAUUAUUCACAGUCCCCUCCCUGCUGCCCUCAGACGUUCUCCUCAGGCUCCACACUGCAGCCCUACACUAGGCCACUACCACUGCCCCCCGUGGUAACAUCUUCUUGCACUUUGUACAGAACAAGCAAAUGGCUUUUGUCCUGAAUUAUUCAGGAAGGGAGGGAGACAGGUGGGAAGGAAGUCAGGAAGGCAGAAAAUAAAAAUCGUUUGAUACCACAGAAAUACGAAGGAUCAAAGGAGAUUAUUAGGAACAAUUAUAUAUUAUAUGCCAACAAUUGGAUCACCUAGAAGUGGACAGAUUUCCAGAUGCAUACAACCUACCAAGAAUGAAUCAUAAACAGAAAAUCUAAAGAGACCAAUAGCAAAUAAGGGUCACCAUUACUCUGAGAAGAGGACAGUAGGUAGGGAAGCAGUACAACUUUUAACUUGGAGCAAAACCAUGCUCUAGGGAAACAUUAUUAGCAUCCCCAGCAACAGCAGCAGCCAUCGCUGCUGCCAAUACCUGCAAAUGGAAAAAAGGCCAGCAGCCAAAAUGAAGGCUUGACUAUUGACCCGAAGCAUUUUAGGAAACCAGGAAAGAAGCCCUUCACCAAACAAAGCUACUUCUUUGUGGGAAGUGUUCCUUCUGACAUCACUGAGGAGGAAAUGAGGAAAUGUGAGAAAUACGGGAAGGCAAUUUCACAGAAAGAGGAUUUAAAUAAACAAAAAGGAAAAAUGAAAAAAUUAAAAACAAUAACAACAAAAAAGAAACAUGGGAAGGCAGGUGAGGUCUUCAUAAGGAUAAAGGCUUUGACUUUAUGCACUUGGAAGCACAAACCCUAGUAGAGAUUGCCAAAGUGGGUCUGGACAAUAUGCAGCUGUGUGCACUCUGCCUGCCAUAGUGCAUCCCUUACAGUCCGAAACCUUCUAACAAACUUUUGGAAGAAGCCUUUUCUUUAUUUGACCAGGUGGAGGGGGCUGUAGUCACUGUGGAUGAUCAAGGAAGGCCCUCAGGGAAAGGCACUGUUGAGUUCUCAGGGCAGCCAGUUGCUCAGAAAGUGCAGGCUGCUUCCUGCUAACCACAUUUCCUCAUCCUGUUACUGUGUAGCCCAUAGGCUAAUUAGGUGACAAAGAAGGACUUCCAGAGAAGCUGGUUGUAAAAAAUCAGCAAUUUCACAAGGAGUGAGAACAGCCACCCCAGUAUGCACAGCAUGGCUUUUGAAUAUGAGUAUGCCAUGCACUGGAGGGUGCUCAUUGAGAUGGAGAAGCAGCAGCAGGACGAAGUGGAUCACAAUAUCAAGGAGGCUCAUGAGAAGCUGGAGAUGGAGAUGGGGGUUGCUUGCCUUCAUCAAUGCCAGGUCAUGCUAAUGAGGCAGGAUUUGAUGAGGUGCCAAGAAGAGCUGUGGAGGAUGGAAGAGCUGAACAAC
Chlorocebus sabaeus (green monkey) is the source of this 1946-nucleotide non-coding RNA. The record is from RefSeq and is a predicted model, not a curated record. NCBI's taxonomy places the organism in Eukaryota, Metazoa, Chordata, Mammalia, Primates, Cercopithecidae.